GUGGGGCUGCUGGGGCCCUGCCAGGAGCCACUGGCGCUGCCUUUGGGAAUGAAGUUCCACAGCCCCCCACUCAUUGCUUUGGCUGUCUGCUGCAUUUGAAACUGUACGAGGGUCAGGAAGAAGGCUGCGGGGAUGAAUGGCUCUACCGGCUUGCCACGGAUGGGGAACUGGAGCAGCCAGUGGCCCCAAGAGGAGGAAGGAAGGGAGGCACGGCAGACCCAACACCAGCUGUGCCAGGCUUUGGGGGGUGAACCCAUGAGGCAUCGUCACACACUGACAUUUUCAUCCCUCCUCAGCAGCUGCUUCCGGCUCCCUGAGACCCAGCCAUGGAAGGCAUAGAAAGGCAUGUGACAAGAAACUCAUGGCUUUUAAUCCUGGCAGGACAAGGAAAACCCCGUCAAAGAUUUGCAUAAAUUUUGCUGCUCUCCUGCUGGGGGGGGGGGGGGGGCAGUUCGUCACAUUUAAUAAAAUUCUCUCCCUCCCUUCUCCCGACUGCAUUAUCUCAUAUUUAUUU
RNAcentral lists this long non-coding RNA (514 nucleotides) under Homo sapiens (human). Its description in RNAcentral is "HSALNT0236749". The record is from RNAcentral. Lineage: Eukaryota; Metazoa; Chordata; Mammalia; Primates; Hominidae.